GCCAGGCACAGUGGCGCAUGCCUAUAAUCCCAGUUACUCAGGAGACUGAGGCAGGAAGAUCACAAGUUCCUGAUCAACCCAGGCAACUUUUGAGAUCCUGUCUCAA
This 106-nucleotide small RNA is filed under the name Marmota monax (woodchuck). The record is from RNAcentral. Lineage: Eukaryota; Metazoa; Chordata; Mammalia; Rodentia; Sciuridae.